AAAGAGAUGGGAAAUGUUUUCUCUCUGAAACAAUUUGAAGGAAAGCUGAGAAGAUGAAAGGGAAGAAGAGCAGGCUAGUUACUCCCAGGCUGAGCUGGAAGCCUGAUGAGAGGCAGGAGCUGUGAUGAGUCUGCACCCCUGGUUCUACACUUGGGAAGCUGGUUCGUUGAGAGUGCUUUUGUAGCACUCUCAGUUCUGCAAGUGGAGGGAAUGAAUGACCAUGGUGCUGAGAUGGAAAAAUGGCUCUUAUGAUGGAGUAUGAACUUUUGGACUACAAGGUCAGCCUGAGGUCCUGUAGAGCUUUUUGUUCAGGGACAAUCCCCUCUUGUGUCUUGGGGUCCUCCCUCUGGCUCUGGAUGUAUCUUCUUGAGUUUCUCAGCACUGUUCUUGCAUUAGCCAAAGAAGUCACUCAGUGUAAAUUUUUCAAUCCAUAGUGUCUCUGCACUAUGCUCUUCUCUGGAAAAAAUUCCCACUUGCUAACACAGGUACAGUUUCAUCAUUAGUAACAAUGACAAGCAUCACUGUAGACAAGACUCCAGAUGGCCACUGACAUUUUAAGAACAGCAUCAUGGAAACCUGCUCAAGACUUCAAGCUGCUUGAGACCCCAGUCCUGCAAGCUGCUUGAAGAGGCUGCUGGUGGAUAGCGUUAGCAGUGUCUGUCAGCCUAAAGCAACCUGUUGGGGAUCGUAGGGGGCUCAUGUGUCUAAAAUUAUUUG
Molecule: long non-coding RNA, 717 nt
Organism: Dermochelys coriacea (leatherback sea turtle)
Lineage: Eukaryota; Metazoa; Chordata; Testudines; Dermochelyidae
Exons: 2
Source: RefSeq, a predicted model, not a curated record